GACAGAAGGUGCAAGCGUUACUCGGAAUUACUGGGCGUAAAGCGUCUGUAGGUGUCCUUCCACGUCUGGAUUUAAAUUGCGAAGCUCAACUUCGCAUCUGAUCUGGAAACGAGAAGGAUCGAGUCAUUCAGAGGCAUCUGGAAUGUCAUGUGUAGGGGUAAAAUCCGUAGAUACAUGAUGGAACGCCAAAAGCGAAGGCAGGAUGCUAGGAAUGUACUGACACUCAGAGACGAAAGCGUGGGGAGCAAAGGGGAUUAGAAACCCCUGUAGU
This 271-nucleotide ribosomal RNA is filed under the name uncultured bacterium. RNAcentral's name for it is "partial 16S ribosomal RNA". It matches the Rfam family "Bacterial small subunit ribosomal RNA", at positions 524 to 794 of the family's 1533-position model. The record is from RNAcentral.